CGACGAUCUUCCGAUCUCUUCUCCAGAGAUGCACAUUUGGAGUUCACAGCCUCAACUUGUUCCUCUGCCUCUUGCAGAC
Pimephales promelas (fathead minnow) is the source of this 79-nucleotide non-coding RNA. The record is from RefSeq and is a predicted model, not a curated record. Lineage: Eukaryota; Metazoa; Chordata; Actinopteri; Cypriniformes; Leuciscidae.